RNAcentral lists this ribosomal RNA (497 nucleotides) under Boophis sibilans. Its description in RNAcentral is "partial 16S ribosomal RNA". It matches the Rfam family "Bacterial large subunit ribosomal RNA", at positions 1915 to 2580 of the family's 2925-position model. Lineage: Eukaryota; Metazoa; Chordata; Amphibia; Anura; Mantellidae. The record is from RNAcentral.
UGACCAAGUUAAACGGCCGCGGUACUCUAACCGUGCAAAGGUAGCACAAUCAAUUGUUCUUUAAAUGAGGACUAGAAUCAACGGCAUCACGAGGAUCCUACUGUCUCCCCCCUCUAAUCAGUGAAAUUGAUCUCCCCGUGAAGAAGCGGGGAUAUAAAUAUAAGACGAGAAGACCCCAUGGAGCUUUAAACCUACAACACCCAUCUAUUUUAUACCCCUAUAUUUAUAUGACUAUGUUUGUUUGGUUUUAGGUUGGGGUGACCACGGAGUAUAAAACAACCUCCAUGAAGAAAAGACUAAUAAUCUUUAUCAAAGAAAUACAUUUCUAAGAAUUAAUACAUUAACUUUUAAUGAUCCAAUAUUUGAUCAACGAACCAAGUUACCCUGGGGAUAACAGCGCAAUCCACCUUAAGAGCCCCUAUCGACAGGUGGGUUUACGACCUCGAUGUUGGAUCAGGGUGUCACAGUGGUGCAGCANCUACUAAUGGUUCGUUUGU